Papaver somniferum (opium poppy) is the source of this 754-nucleotide long non-coding RNA. RefSeq lists it as uncharacterized. NCBI's taxonomy places the organism in Eukaryota, Viridiplantae, Streptophyta, Magnoliopsida, Ranunculales, Papaveraceae. The transcript has 4 exons. The record is from RefSeq and is a predicted model, not a curated record.
AAAAGCCCCACUGGUCAGAUUUAUAGGCCAUAUGUGUUUCUGGAAACACAUAGAGCCACCCUAGAUGAUGAUCCCCCGUCUUCUAAAUCACAGGCAGCUGCAAAACUUGCACUAGUGAAGGAGACAUAUGAUAAAUAUCCUUGAGCACAAAAGUGUUUGGGCAUUGACGCUGUUACCCAGAUAUAUGGCGCUGAUCAAAAGGGAUACAUACGUAGAAUGGGUGCUGGUAUCUCAAAAUCUCAGUUUCUUGCUGCUGAGUUUAUGAAGGCCAAGUUGCAGGAAGUGAGGAACGAGUUGCGGAAAGUGAGGCAGAAAAACGAAGCUUUGAAAGCACAGUUGGAUGUUGAAAGGCAGAAAAACAGCACUGCAGUACAUGGUCAGAUCGGUGAUAGCUCUUAUCAACAGGGUAUUGGGAUCCCUUCGUCCUAUCCUUCGUCGUUUGGUCUUUGUGUUUGAGGAACUUCAGAAAAAAGGUUGUUGCACUUGCAUAUGUUGAUAGUAAGCUACUGAUUGAUGACCACUACGACUGCAUGAUUGAGGAAGUUAUUGAUCCAACUGCGAUGUUGUGCGAUAGAGAUAAUGAUGCUAUACUUGGGAAUGUUAAAAGAAGUGAGUUUGUUAAGUGGCCCAAGGCCUAUGUGACUACUGUAGGAGAGCCAUCAAGUUAGAAUGGUAGUGAGAGUAGAUUGAUUAGUUUUUUAAUUUUCAUGUUGUAACUUGGAGUUGCUAUAUGUCCGCCAAUCUAUGUUUGAAU